AGCGAACGCUGGCGGCAGGCCUAACACAUGCGAGUCGAACGAACUCUUCGGAGUUAGUGGCGGACGGGUGAGUAACACGUGGGAACGUGCCUUUUGGUUCGGAAUAACUCAGGGAAACUUGUGCUAAUACCGAAUGUGCCCUUCGGGGGAAAGAUUUAUCGCCAUUAGAGCUGCCCGCGUCUGAUUAGCUAGUUGGUGAGGUAACGGCUCACCAAGGCGACGAUCAGUAGCUGGUCAGAGAGGAUGACCAGCCACACUGGGACUGAGACGCGGCCCAGACUCCUACGGGAGGCAGCAGUGGGGAAUCUGGCACAAUGGGCGAAAGCCUGACGCAGCCAUGCCGCGUGAAUGAUGAAGGUCUUAGGAUUGUAAAAUUCUUUCAACGGGGACGAUAAUGACGGUACCCGGAGAAGAAGCCACGGCUAACUUCGUG
RNAcentral lists this ribosomal RNA (433 nucleotides) under uncultured bacterium. RNAcentral describes it as "partial 16S ribosomal RNA". It matches the Rfam family "Bacterial small subunit ribosomal RNA", at positions 29 to 507 of the family's 1533-position model. The record is from RNAcentral.